AUUCAGUUGACGAGGUCCAAAUAGGACGAAACGUACAUCCUGAAU
Molecule: non-coding RNA, 45 nt
Filed under: Schistosoma haematobium
Lineage: Eukaryota; Metazoa; Platyhelminthes; Trematoda; Strigeidida; Schistosomatidae
Source: RNAcentral